UGGGGAAUAUUGGACAAUGGGCGCAAGCCUGAUCCAGCCAUACCGCGUGGGUGAAGAAGGCCUUCGGGUUGUAAAGCCCUUUUGUUGGGAAAGAAAAGCAGUCGGCUAAUACCCGGUUGUUUUGACGGUACCCAAAGAAUAAGCACCGGCUAACUUCGUGCCAGCAGCCGCGGUAAUACGAAGGGUGCAAGCGUUACUCGGAAUUACUGGGCGUAAAGCGUGCGUAGGUGGUUGUUUAAGUCUGUUGUGAAAGCCCUGGGCUCAACCUGGGAAUUGCAGUGGAUACUGGGCGACUAGAGUGUGGUAGAGGGUAGUGGAAUUCCCGGUGUAGCAGUGAAAUGCGUAGAGAUCGGGAGGAACAUCCAUGGCGAAGGCAGCUACCUGGACCAACACUGACACUGAGGCACGAAAGCGUGGGGAGCAAACAGGAUUAGAUACCCUGGUAGUCCACGCCCUAAACGAUGCGAACUGGAUGUUGGGUGCAAUUUGGCACGCAGUAUCGAAGCUAACGCGUUAAGUCGC
This 522-nucleotide ribosomal RNA is filed under the name uncultured Stenotrophomonas sp. RNAcentral's name for it is "bacterial SSU rRNA". It matches the Rfam family "Bacterial small subunit ribosomal RNA", at positions 355 to 869 of the family's 1533-position model. The record is from RNAcentral. Lineage: Bacteria; Pseudomonadati; Pseudomonadota; Gammaproteobacteria; Lysobacterales; Lysobacteraceae.